Molecule: ribosomal RNA, 253 nt
Filed under: uncultured bacterium
Lineage: Bacteria
Description: partial 16S ribosomal RNA
Rfam family: Bacterial small subunit ribosomal RNA
Source: RNAcentral
UACAGAGGUCUCAAGCGUUGUUCGGAUUCAUUGGGCGUAAAGGGUGCGUAGGUGGCGGGGUAAGUCAGGUGUGAAAUCUCGAGGCUCAACCUCGAAACUGCACUUGAUACUGCCUUGCUCGAGUACUGGAGAGGAGAUUGGAAUUUACGGUGUAGCAGUGAAAUGCGUAGAUAUCGUAAGGAAGACCAGUGGCGAAGGCGAAUCUCUGGACAGUUACUGACACUGAGGCACGGAGGCCAGGGGAGCAAACGGG